RNAcentral lists this ribosomal RNA (405 nucleotides) under uncultured prokaryote. RNAcentral describes it as "bacterial SSU rRNA". It matches the Rfam family "Bacterial small subunit ribosomal RNA", at positions 355 to 774 of the family's 1533-position model. The record is from RNAcentral.
UAGGGAAUAUUGCGCAAUGAGCGAAAGCUUGACGCAGCCAUGCCGCGUGAGUGAAGAAGUAUUUCGGUAUGUAAAGCUCUAUCAGCAGGGAAGAAAAGAAUGACGGUACCUGAAUAAGAAGCCCCGGCUAACUACGUGCCAGCAGCCGCGGUAAUACGUAGGGGGCAAGCGUUAUCCGGAUUUACUGGGUGUAAAGGGCGCGUAGACGGCGAUGCAAGUCCGAUGUGAAAACCCAUGGCUAAACCAUGGGAGUGCAUGAGAAACUGUAGUGCUAGAGUGCAGGAGAGGUAAGCGGAAUUCCGGGUGUAGCGGUGAAAUGCGUAGAUAUCAGGAGGAACACCGGUGGCGAAGGCGGCUUACUGGACUGUAACUGACGUUGAGGCUCGAAGGCGUGGGGAGCAAACA